This 468-nucleotide ribosomal RNA is filed under the name uncultured bacterium. RNAcentral's name for it is "bacterial SSU rRNA". It matches the Rfam family "Bacterial small subunit ribosomal RNA", at positions 355 to 825 of the family's 1533-position model. The record is from RNAcentral.
UGGGGAAUAUUGGACAAUGGGCGAAAGCCUGAUCCAGCAAUGCCGCGUGAGUGAUGAAGGCCUUCGGGUUGUAAAGCUCUGUCGGGAGGGACGAAUAGGGUGGUGUAAUGGCCACUUCUGACGGUACCUCCAAAGGAAGCACCGGCUAACUCUGUGCCAGCAGCCGCGGUAAUACAGAGGGUGCAAGCGUUGUUCGGAAUCACUGGGCGUAAAGCGCACGUAGGCGGAUAGUUAAGUCAGGGGUGAAAUCCUGGGGCUCAACCCCAGAACUGCCUUUGAUACUGGCUGUCUCGAGGUUGAGAGAGGUUGGUGGAAUUCCUAGUGUAGAGGUGAAAUUCGCAGAUAUUAGGAAGAACACCGGUGGCGAAGGCGGCCCACUGGACCGGUAUUGACGCUGAGGUGCGAAAGCGUGGGGAGCAAACAGGAUUAGAUACCCGGGUAGUCCCUGAGCGGGCUGGCAAGGCGCAU